GGUAAGGUGGCUGAGUAAGCAUUAGACUGUAAAUCUAAAGACGGGGGUUAAAGCCCCUCCUUAUCA
Molecule: transfer RNA, 66 nt
Filed under: Niviventer excelsior (large white-bellied rat)
Lineage: Eukaryota; Metazoa; Chordata; Mammalia; Rodentia; Muridae
Description: tRNA-Tyr
Rfam family: tRNA
About the family: Transfer RNA (tRNA) molecules are approximately 80 nucleotides in length. Their secondary structure includes four short double-helical elements and three loops (D, anti-codon, and T loops).
Source: RNAcentral